RNAcentral lists this unclassified non-coding RNA (378 nucleotides) under plant metagenome. Its description in RNAcentral is "partial contains 5.8S ribosomal RNA, internal transcribed spacer 2, and large subunit ribosomal RNA". The stretch from base 1 to 105 matches the Rfam family "5.8S ribosomal RNA", at positions 50 to 154 of the family's 154-position model. The record is from RNAcentral.
GAAAUGCGAUAAGUAAUGUGAAUUGCAGAAUUCAGUGAAUCAUCGAAUCUUUGAACGCACCUUGCGCUCCUUGGUAUUCCUUGGAGCAUGCCUGCUUUAUUAUCAUGAAAUCUUCAAAGUAAAUCUUUUGUUAACUCAAUUGGUUUCUACUUUGGUAUUGGAGGUCUUUGCAGCUUCACACCUGCUCCUCUUUGUUCAUUAGCUGGAUCUCAGUGUUAUGCUUGGUUCCACUCGGCGUGAUAAGUUAUCUAUCGCUGAGGACACUGUAAAAGGUGGCCAAGGUAAAUGCAGAUGAACCGCUUCUAAUAGUCCAUUGACUUGGACAAUACUUUUAUGAUCUGAUCUCAAAUCAGGUAGGACUACCCGCUGAACUUAAGC